RNAcentral lists this ribosomal RNA (540 nucleotides) under uncultured Basidiomycota. Its description in RNAcentral is "eukaryotic LSU rRNA". The stretch from base 220 to 373 matches the Rfam family "5.8S ribosomal RNA". Lineage: Eukaryota; Fungi; Basidiomycota. The record is from RNAcentral.
UGAUAAGUUGUUGCUGGCUCUCUAGGGAGUAUUGUGCACGCUUAUCAUCUUUAUCAUCUUUCACCUGUGCACCUUUUGUAGACUUUGGAUAGUCAGUUAUGAAGAUUGACUUUUUCUUGUCUUUCUUUAUAUUUCCAGGUCUACGUUUCUUCAUAUACCCCAAUGUAUGUUUAGAAUGUAAUCAAUGUGGGUCUUUUGUGCCCCAUAGUUUCUUUAUACAACUUUCAGCAACGGAUCUCUUGGCUCUCGCAUCGAUGAAGAACGCAGCGAAAUGCGAUAAGUAAUGUGAAUUGCAGAAUUCAGUGAAUCAUCGAAUCUUUGAACGCACCUUGCACUCCUUGGUAUUCCGAGGAGUAUGCCUGUUUGAGUGUCAUUAAUAUAUAUCAACCUAGUGUUGGAUUUGAGGGUUGCUGGACUCCUUUGGAGGUCAGCUCCUUUGAAAUAUAUUAGCAGAAACAAUUUGUUGACCUGUUCAAUUGGUGUGAUAGAUUUAUCUACACUUAUCGACAUGAAGCAAGUUCUGCUUAUAACUAAACUAUC